GUAAGUAUAGUUUAACCAAAAUAUUAGAUUGUGAUUCUAAAGACAGGAGUUAAAAUCUCCUUACUCACC
This 69-nucleotide transfer RNA is filed under the name Ctenopharyngodon idella (grass carp). Its description in RNAcentral is "tRNA-His". It matches the Rfam family "tRNA". Rfam says of the family: Transfer RNA (tRNA) molecules are approximately 80 nucleotides in length. Lineage: Eukaryota; Metazoa; Chordata; Actinopteri; Cypriniformes; Xenocyprididae. RNAcentral also lists the same sequence under 20 other names. The record is from RNAcentral.